This 485-nucleotide ribosomal RNA is filed under the name uncultured bacterium. RNAcentral describes it as "bacterial SSU rRNA". It matches the Rfam family "Bacterial small subunit ribosomal RNA", at positions 36 to 507 of the family's 1533-position model. The record is from RNAcentral.
CGACUGGCGGCAUGCCUUACACAUGCAAGUCGAACGGCAGCAUGGAAGAGCUUGCUCUUCUGAUGGCGAGUGGCGAACGGGUGAGUAAAGCAUCGGAACGUACCGUGUAGUGGGGGAUAACGUAGCGAAAGUUACGCUAAUACCGCAUACGCACUGAGGUGGAAAGCAGGGGAUCGCAAGACCUUGCGCUAUACGAGCGGCCGAUGUCAGAUUAGCUAGUUGGUAGGGUAAAGGCCUACCAAGGCGACGAUCUGUAGCGGGUCUGAGAGGAUGAUCCGCCACACUGGGACUGAGACACGGCCCAGACUCCUACGGGAGGCAGCAGUGGGGAAUUUUGGACAAUGGGGGAAACCCUGAUCCAGCCAUGCCGCGUGAGUGAAGAAGGCCUUCGGGUUGUAAAGCUCUUUCGGCUGGGAAGAAAUCGCACAGGCUAAUACUCUGUGUGGAUGACGGUACCAGCACAAGAAGCACCGGCUAACUACGUG